CCAGUUUUCACAGGCCUGUGUGCCGAGAGUGUUCCUUACCAUUUUUUCAUUAUUAUUCUGCUAAGGAGGAUUUUUAGACAUUAUGUUCCUAGUCAAGCCCUCACCUCUGCAAUGAAAUUAUAAUACCACUGUUGACCCAAAGAUGAGCAGCAAGCGCUAGAACUGAGGGAAAUCAUGGUGAGAUUUAUUCUGAGCCAAGCUGGAGGACUUAGGCCCAGGAACACAGAAUCUGUGUCCACUGAGAAUGUAUCUCAAAGCAGGCUCCAUGAGGCACCGUGCACUUACAUUUUCUAACAGGCGGACGUAUGUGGCCCAGAAGGUGGGAGAGGCAAGCGGUGAGCAGCCGUGACGUUCCUGAGAUUCUGAUGAGCGCUCGGUGGCACUGCCCACAUGAUAAGGGAGACAUGAGACAUCAAUCAACACAUGUAGGAUGAACAUUGGUUCGGUCUGGAAAGGCGGGACAACUCGAAGCAAAGGCAGGAAGACUCGAAGCAGACGGGGGCUUCCAGGUCAUAGGAAGUCAUGAGCGAAGAGACCGUGAGCCUCUCCCAAACCCCGCAUGUGCUGACAUCUCCACGUGUGCUGUGUCCUGGGUAGGCUUUCUUCAUAGACCGUGCUUCCGUCUGUCUGGAGUUUCCGCUUCAUCCAUCUGUCCACAGGGAGGACGCACACCCCUGAGUCCGAGGCCACACCACGCAUUCUGUAGAAACUCUCACUGCCCAGGGAGCACACUUUAUUAGGAAAGCUCCAGGUUCACAGAGGCUCUGGGCUCUCUCUGGGCCCGACGGUAGAACUCCAGGUCAGAUGUGUCUGAGUUUGCUUUCAAU
RNAcentral lists this long non-coding RNA (827 nucleotides) under Homo sapiens (human). RNAcentral describes it as "HSALNT0025971". The record is from RNAcentral. Lineage: Eukaryota; Metazoa; Chordata; Mammalia; Primates; Hominidae.